AUUGAACGCUGGCGGCAGGCCUAACACAUGCAAGUCGAGCGGAUGAAGCGAUCUUGCUCCUUGAUUCAGCGGCGGACGGGUGAGUAAUGCCUAGGAAUCUGCCUGUUAGUGGGGGAUAAAGUCCGGAAACGUGCGCUAAUACCGCAUACGUCCUGACGGAGAAAGGGGGGGAGCUUCGGACCUCACGCUAUCAGAUGAGCCUAGGUCGGAUUAGCUAGUUGGUGGGGUAAAGGCCUACCAAGGCGACGAUCCGUAACUGGUCUGAGAGGAUGAACAGUGACAGUGGGACUGAGACACGGUCCAGACUCCUACGGGCGGCAGAGGUGGGGAAUAUUGGAAGAUGGGCGAAAGACUGAUCAAGGCAUGCCGCGUGUGUGCAGAAGGUCUUCGGAUUGUAAAGCACUUUAAGUUGGGAGGACGGGCAGUAAGUUAAUACCUUGCUGUUUUGACGUUAGCAACAGAAUAAGCACCGGCUAACUUCGUG
RNAcentral lists this ribosomal RNA (484 nucleotides) under uncultured bacterium. RNAcentral's name for it is "partial 16S ribosomal RNA". It matches the Rfam family "Bacterial small subunit ribosomal RNA", at positions 30 to 507 of the family's 1533-position model. The record is from RNAcentral.